GGCCAAUCAGCGUUAUUUCUAAUGCGCAGCUCAGCUGCUGGAGCCAGGCUCUGGAUGUUUUCUGAUUAGGAGGAAUCUGUGGGAUCCUGGAGAUGUGAGAGGAGGAUCUGCUCCGGUCUGGGUUUAACGGUUAAAGCAGGGGCCCAGCAUUCAUCCAGCUCAGAGACCGGGGAGCCGCUGCUGCUGCUGCUCAGGACGAUGGAGAGCUAGCUGCCAUCGGAGGGCUAACAGUCUGAGCUUUAUCUGGACCCGCUGCUCUGGUUCCGAGCUGAUAAUCCACCAGGAGCCGCUCAGACACUCCCUCCGCCGGGUCGCAUCCCUCCAGGUGCAGCAGCUGGACCGACCUCAGCCUGGAUCCUCUGCUGCUGUGGUCCAGGAGGGCCCACCAGCCUCAAAGACAGCAUGAUCAUCAUCCCAGCUUUGAAGACGGGGAUUAAAGGACCUCUGCAAAGCCCAAGUUAAAGGGAUUUCCAUUUUUCCAGGACUCAUCUGUUGGCAGAUGAACUUUUCUCACAGGGGAAACUUUAAAAGAAGCUUACUUGUAGAGGAACCAGCAGACAGAAGAACCUGGAGAGGAAAGAAAUAAGGAAAUCAGGAAAUAAGGAAGAGCUCUGAUAUCUGGAUCUCACAGGGACCCUCAUCCAUCCCAGCCUGGUUCUGUUAGUGCUGCCUGAAAUGAGAUAAUUACCCUGCUAAUGCUGCAGAUCCUCACUGAGAGCAACGACUUAGCAGCAGCAGCAGCACGCGCAUGGAUGCUAAUGGAUGGUCUGCUGGAGUCGGCUCUGAGUGUUUUGGAAAUCCAGCCGUUUCCUCUUGUUUGCCUGCCAAUCAGCUCGGGGAUGUAGCUGGCAGGUGGGGGGGUUUAAGUUGGCCACUGCGGGGGUUUGGGGAUGCCCCGACACAGGCCUGCUAACAGACUGCUUGGCGCAGUAAACCGGGGUUACCCACGCUGUUUACAUCUUUUUAUCUAUUUCUUUUUGUAAGAGUUUGUUUAUUUGGCAUAAAAUAUCCGUUUUUAAGCAAAGUGAAUGCGGAUGGCUAAGCUAGUCCAUCCAGUCUGAAGGAGGAUCCAGAUAAAGGAGACCAGUCAGCCUCAAAGCAUUCCUCUGUUUGUCCAUCCUCUGGUUCUCGGUCCCAGGACAGCUCUACCUCUGCCUCCAUGCCUCCAUCUAUUCUCUAUAUAUCUACAGACCGAUCCAGCUGAGGGAACCGUCGCUAUAGAGCUGCUGAUGACCAAAAUACUUCGAGUUCCUCUGAAUGAGAAAGCUUCUUAUUGCUGUCGAACAGUUUGCUGAUCCUCUCAUCAAACUUGCAGACUAACCUCUUUGACGCCCUUUU
Cyprinodon variegatus (sheepshead minnow) is the source of this 1338-nucleotide long non-coding RNA. RefSeq lists it as uncharacterized. The transcript is spliced from 2 exons. Lineage: Eukaryota; Metazoa; Chordata; Actinopteri; Cyprinodontiformes; Cyprinodontidae. The record is from RefSeq and is a predicted model, not a curated record.